This 424-nucleotide ribosomal RNA is filed under the name uncultured bacterium gp6. RNAcentral's name for it is "bacterial SSU rRNA". It matches the Rfam family "Bacterial small subunit ribosomal RNA", at positions 358 to 774 of the family's 1533-position model. The record is from RNAcentral.
GGAAUUGUUCGCAAUGGGCGCAAGCCUGACGACGCAACGCCGCGUGGAGGAUGAAGAUUUUCGGAUCGUAAACUCCUGUCGAAUGGGACGAACAGAUCGCGGGUUAACAGCCCGUGGUCCUGACGGUACCGUUAAAGGAAACCCCGGCUAACUCCGUGCCAGCAGCCGCGGUAAUACGGGGGGGUAAGCGUUGUUCGGAAUUACUGGGCGUAAAGGGCUCGUAGGCGGCCAACUAAGUCAUACGUGAAAUCCCUCAGCUUAACUGGGGAACUGCGUGUGAUACUGGAUGGCUUGGAUUUGGGAGAGGGAUGCGGAAUUCCAGGUGUAGCGGUGAAAUGCGUAGAUAUCUGGAGGAACACCGGUGGCGAAGGCGGCAUCCUGGACCAAUAUUGACGCUGAGGAGCGAAAGCCAGGGGAGCAAACG